This 253-nucleotide ribosomal RNA is filed under the name uncultured bacterium. Its description in RNAcentral is "partial 16S ribosomal RNA". It matches the Rfam family "Bacterial small subunit ribosomal RNA", at positions 524 to 776 of the family's 1533-position model. The record is from RNAcentral.
UACGUAGGGGGCAAGCGUUGUCCGGAAUUAUUGGGCGUAAAGAGCGCGUAGGCGGUCCGAUAAGUCGGCUGUGAAAGUCAAGGGCUCAACCCUUGAAAGCCGGCCGAUACUGUCGGACUAGAGUCCGGAAGAGGCGAGUGGAAUUCCCGGUGUAGCGGUGAAAUGCGCAGAUAUCGGGAGGAACACCAAUGGCGAAGGCAGCUCGCUGGGACGGUACUGACGCUGAGGAGCGAAAGCGUGGGGAGCGAACAGG